This 2750-nucleotide long non-coding RNA is filed under the name Canis lupus familiaris (dog). RNAcentral's name for it is "lncRNA (ENSCAFG00040012413.1)". Lineage: Eukaryota; Metazoa; Chordata; Mammalia; Carnivora; Canidae. The record is from RNAcentral.
GAUCUCUUUGGAGAACUGUGCAUCCCUGCUGUUCAAACUUUAAGCAAAAGAUACAUAUCAUAUGAUACUUUUAACUGUUCUUUUCCAACGAGUUUGCAAAAAAAGGAACAAACAUUCACUAGAAGUGAAUGAGUCCUCACAUCUUAUCAGUUGACCUUGGGACUGGAGCCCAGCUGCAUCCCCAGUUUUUAUCCCCAAGCGGCCCCCCCAGACUUCGGUUGCAGCUGACUGAAGAAGAGAUCAUGUUGGCCAUUUAACUGGAACUGCAGAGAAUUGGCACAUUGCACAUGCAGCCCCUGCAGGAAUCGUAGCUGGCUACCCAUCCUUCUAGUGCUUGAAUCCCAGGCAGAUGAGGCGCUCGAGAAGAAGCAGAGGCUUAUUUAAAAGGGAUUCAGGACAGCAGGCCAUGCAAACAUUCUUGGCUUCAAGAUGUAACAUUGCUAGGAUGGACAGGCAUGUCCUACAUGCCCUGAGCGAGGACAGAAGGUAGCUCGCUGCUUCCUACCACACCACCUCUGCUGUUGAUGGGAUGAUCACCACUCAUAAGAAUGAGGCAUGCAGAAGAGCUGGAGAUGAAGUUGAAGAGGUAGCAGGUGGGACAGAUGAUGGCGUGAGAUGGAAGCCAUUGGAAGGUUUUCAGCAGAGGAGCUACAUGACCCACCUUAUGCUGUCAAAGGAUCACCCUGGAACUUAAUUGAGAAUAGGCUUUUGUGAGGCAAGAAUGGAAGCAGGGAGACCAGUUAUAAAGCCAGCACAACAGUCCGGGUGAGAGAAGAUGGCAUAUGGGACCAGAAUGGUGGCAGUAGAGGUAGUGACACGUGGUCAGAUUGCAGGUAUAUUAUGAAGAUGAGGCUGAUCAUAUGUGCUACUGAACCCAUUGUGAAGUGUAAGAGAAGAGAGGCAUCAAAAGAAGAGAAGACAUAUCAAGAGUGACAUGUUGAGAGUUUUGACUGAGAAACUAAGGAUGGAUCAUGUAGUAUAUAGUAUAUAUGUAAUGUAUAUAUAACCUAUAUGGCAUAUAUGUAAGAUACACACACAUAGUGCUCAGUACAAGUUUGCAACAUGGUAUGUAUAUGUCUUUAAUAAAGAGUCCCUCUCUCUCCUUCAUAGGGUAUAUAUAUAAAGUUCAGACUUUAAUAUUUUGUAGUUCCUUAAAGUUAGAGAUACCCUCAUGCUCAAAGGGUGACCCUGGGUGAUGCUUGCCUGAUAAUAGAGUGGAGAUGAAAGAGUGAUGUCUAUAAGGCUUGAUUCUUAGGAAACUGACAGGCACUCACAGUGAUGUCCAUCUUGGGAAAUAAUCAGAGUAAACAAGAGUAGCUCUAACAAUGUGACUUCUGAGAGAACAAUUUUUUAAGACCAAGUGCUAUUUUAGCAUGAGCCUAGGGGUAAAUGUCUAUAUAGUAGAGAGCUUUGAGACUUCUGCGUUAUCUGGGUAUAAAUAGAGCCUUUGAGCCCCUUAGAAGAAAGCUUAGGUAUUUACCGAGAUGACCAUUAUUUUCUGCUGCUGCUGACCAGUGAAAUACUUUCCAAAUGCUGUUUUAAUUCCACCAGCGCCUUUAGAUGGAUGGCUUGAUAUGCCCUUAUUUAUUAUGUGACUUACAGAAAUGACAGACCCAUCACCAACGUGACACUGUCUCCCCAUACAUCUCAGUCUGCAAAACUAGUACCAGGUACUUGUUUUUCCAGUUAACAUUCUCAACACUAAAGUAAUCUGUGUGGUUGCUACAGAAGUUAUACUUUGUCCAUUCUUGGGAUUAUAAUAGAUGUUUAAUAAAAAGAUUUGGCCAACAACUGUGUCCCUCUAUGCCAUUUUGCCUUCUUACCUAACUUCACUCAUCCCUGAGGACUCAUACAGUUAUGCCCCAAUUCUACUAUCCAUCCAGUUGGGUUCAUUGCUAGUAUAAGGUCAGUAACAUUCAGUGUUCUUGACUUGGUGUUCUUUUAAGAUAAAAAAAGAAAAUACAGGGCACUUGGGUGGCUCAGUUGGUUAAGCGCCCGACACUUGGCUCAGGUCAUAAUCUCAGGGUCGUGAGAUUGAGCCCCACUUCAGCUCUGCACUGGGCAUGGAGCCUGCUUAAGACUCCCUCUCUCCCUCUGCUCCUCCCCCCACUUUCCCUCUCCUUCUCUAAAAAGUAAAGAAAAGACAAGAAAUAAAAGAAGAUACAAGGCACUAACCAGGAGCAAACAUUAACUGGGUUAAAGCAAAACCCUUCCUUUCAGGUAAUGGAAAGUAUGUAAGAGAUGCUUUAAUGUGAUUUGAAGAUCCUUUUCCAUCUGCUUCAUUAGUCGAGUAUAGUGGCUAUUUUUAUAUUGUCAUGACUCCAGCUUUUGAAAUUUGUAAAACUAGUGUAAAGAUAGACCAAAGUACAAAAUAAAAGAUCUUCUCCAUCACCCACACUUUUUUAAUGCAGUAAUACACUUUGCAGUCCUUACACAUAAAAAGGCAAUUGUGCCAGGCACCAGGAAGCAUAAAGAGAUAAUAAAUGGCCCCCACCAUUAAGGAGUUUGUUAUCAUGGGGAGACAGAGUUAGAAGCCAAUCAUUUUAGAGACAGUAAAAGCCCAGUGAUUACCUCCAGGGGACAGUUUAGUGAUGAAUAAGUGAUGAAUGCUAUAGUCAGAUAAUGAUACAAGUUAACAUUUAUCACAUAGUUCUGAGUGUGUUACAUAUAGCAUCUCAUUUAAUCUUUACUACUGCCUUAUGAAGCAGGAUAUUUUUAUCACCAUUUUGUAGACAAUUAAAUUGAGGUAU